This 789-nucleotide ribosomal RNA is filed under the name Triticum aestivum (bread wheat). RNAcentral describes it as "partial small subunit ribosomal RNA". Lineage: Eukaryota; Viridiplantae; Streptophyta; Magnoliopsida; Poales; Poaceae. The record is from RNAcentral.
GAUCUGUAGGACAAGGAAGAUGACGACCUGAACUUUGAUGAGGAAUUCCCGGAUGCAUCUCCGCAGGCAGAAUUCAUGGCGAUCUGCCGCGUGCACACAACCAGGCCGUUCUCAAGGGAAUCGUUUUACACACAUAUGAGGGCGGCGUGGAGUCUAGCACAGGACGUGAACUUCAAGCCGGUGGGCGAGAACUUGUUCGUCCUCACUGUUAAUUGUCUGGGAGAUUGGAAGAGAGUUACUGAACAGGGUCCGUGGCUUUUCCGGGAUAAUGGUGUUCUGGUUGAGCCGUAUGAUGGUUUUCAGAAGUUGGACCUGGUAAUUCUUGAUAAGAUCUCUGUCUGGAUACAAAUCCAAAACCUACCCCCCGGAUAUAGGAGGAAGGAGGUCCUCGAAGCAUGGUGUAGGAGAGUUGGGGAGGUUCUGUACGUCAAUCUCUCUUCCCGCGGGGAUGGGAGGUCUGUACGAGUUAGGGUAAAACUUGAUGUAAACAAGCCCCUGACUAGGUUUCUGUCGAUCACGAAGAACGAAGAAAAGGUGUUCUACCAAGUGUUCUAUGAAAAAAUUCCUAAGUUCUGUUUCUUUUGUGGUCUUCUAGGGCACACACACCUAGAACAUGCCAAUGGCAAGCAUGAUCCGAAAGAUCUGAACUGGGGUGAUUGGCUACUAGCUCCGAUGUUCACCCCUCUGGUUUCCAGUACCAACCCAGCUAGGGGUGGGAGUAGGGGGGGUGGGAGUGGAAGGGGUGGGAGAAACACCUAUGAGUCUCAGAAGCGUGCUGAUCCAUCCUAA